UAGUCCACGCCGUAAACGAUGAUCACUCACCGUUGGCGAUACAAUGUCAGCGGUCAAGCGAAAGUGUUAAGUGAUCCACCUGGGGAGUACGAUCGCAAGGUUGAAACUCGAAGGAAUUGACGGGGGCCCGCACAAGCGGUGGAGCAUGUGGUUUAAUUCGAUGAUACGCGAGGAACCUUACCAAGGCUUAAAUGCAAAAUGACUUUUAGAGAAAUCUAAAUUUUCUUCGGAACAAUUUGCAAGGUGCUGCAUGGUUGUCGUCAGCUCGUGCCGUGAGGUGUCGGGUUAAGUCCCAUAACGAGCGCAACCCCUAUUCUUAGUUGCCAGUGAGUAAUGUCGGGGACUCUAAGAAAACUGCCGGCGCAAGCCGCGAGGAAGGUGGGGAUGACGUCAAAUCAUCACGGCCCUUACGUCUUGGGCUACACACGUGCUACAAUGGUCAAUACAGAGGGUAGCUAUCAGGUGACUGAAUGCAAAUCUCUAAAGUUGAUCACAGUUCGGAUUG
RNAcentral lists this ribosomal RNA (505 nucleotides) under uncultured bacterium. Its description in RNAcentral is "bacterial SSU rRNA". It matches the Rfam family "Bacterial small subunit ribosomal RNA", at positions 791 to 1300 of the family's 1533-position model. The record is from RNAcentral.